Molecule: ribosomal RNA, 279 nt
Filed under: uncultured bacterium
Lineage: Bacteria
Description: partial 16S ribosomal RNA
Rfam family: Bacterial small subunit ribosomal RNA
Source: RNAcentral
UGCCAGCCACCCCAGUACUACUAGGGGUGCGCGCGUUAAUCGGAAUUACUGGGCGUAAAGCGCACGUAGGCGGUUUGUUAAGUGGGAUGUGAAAGCCCCGGGCUCAACCUGGGAAUUGCAUUCCAAACUGACAGACUAGAGUGCAGUAGAGGGAGGUAGAAUUUCCUGUGUAGCGGUGAAAUGCGUAGAUAUAGGAAGGAAUACCAGUGGCGAAGGCGGCCUCCUGGACUGACACUGACGCUGAGGUGCGAAAGCGUGGGGAGCAAACAGGAUUAGAUA